This 212-nucleotide long non-coding RNA is filed under the name Mytilus galloprovincialis (Mediterranean mussel). The record is from RNAcentral. Lineage: Eukaryota; Metazoa; Mollusca; Bivalvia; Mytilida; Mytilidae.
CGCAGGGCGCAGCUUUAUACGACCGCAGAGGUUGAACCCUGAACGGUUGGGGCAAGUAUGGACACAACAUUGAAGCUGGAUUCAGCUCUAAAUUUUGAUUGUGAUUAAAUAGUUGACACAGCAUAGGUUUCUGACACAGAAUGAAUGUGGUCUAAUGAACUUAAAAUUUUUUUUUGCCUUUGAGCAAUUCACUAUGCUGUUGAAUAUUAAUC